GGCUCAGGACGAACGCUGGCGGCGUGCUUCAUACAUGCAAGUCGAACGAGAAGCUAACUUCGGUUAGUGGAAAGUGGCGGACGGGUGAGUAAUGUGUAGAGAAUCUGCCCUGUACUGGGGGACAACAGAGGGAAACUUCUGCUAAUACCCCAUAUGAGCGUACCUGCGAUGGUAUUCUUGAAAGUUCCGGCGGUACAGGAUGAGUCUGCAUCUGAUUAGCUAGUUGGUGGUGUAAUGGACUACCAAGGCGACGAUCAGUAGCUGGUUUGAGAGGAUGAUCAGCCACAAUGGGACUGAGACACGGCCCAUACUCCUACGGGAGGCAGCAGUAGGGAAUUUUGCGCAAUGGGCGAAAGCCUGACGCAGCAACGCCGCGUGAUCGAGACGCCCUUCGGGGUGUAAAGAUCUGUCAGUGGGGACGAAAAAUGACGGUACCCACAGAGGAAGCACCGGCUAACUCCGUGCCAGCAGCCGCGGUAAUACGGGGGGUGCAAGCGUUGUCCGGAAUCAU
This 511-nucleotide ribosomal RNA is filed under the name uncultured bacterium. Its description in RNAcentral is "bacterial SSU rRNA". It matches the Rfam family "Bacterial small subunit ribosomal RNA", at positions 21 to 554 of the family's 1533-position model. The record is from RNAcentral.